UGAACGCUAGCUACAGGCUUAACACAUGCAAGUCGAGGGGAAACGAUAGAGAAAGCUUGCUUUUUCUAGGCGUCGACCGGCGCACGGGUGAGUAACGCGUAUCCAACCUGCCCAUCACUUGGGGAUAACCUUGCGAAAGUAAGACUAAUACCCAAUGAUAUCCGUCGAAGACAUCUGAAGUGGAUUAAAGAUUUAUCGGUGAUGGAUGGGGAUGCGUCUGAUUAGCUUGUUGGCGGGGUAACGGCCCACCAAGGCGACGAUCAGUAGGGGUUCUGAGAGGAAGGUCCCCCACAUUGGAACUGAGACACGGUCCAAACUCCUACGGGAGGCAGCAGUGAGGAAUAUUGGUCAAUGGACGAGAGUCUGAACCAGCCAAGUAGCGUGCAGGAUGACGGCCCUAUGGGUUGUAAACUGCUUUUAUAAGGGAAUAAAGUGAGCCUCGUGAGGCUUUUUGCAUGUACCUUAUGAAUAAGGACCGGCUAAUUCCGUGCCAGCAGCCGCGGUAAUACGGAAGGUCCGGGCGUUAUCCGGAUUUAUUGGGUUUAAAGGGAGCGUAGGCCGGAGAUUAAGCGUGUUGUGAAAUGUAGAUGCUCAACAUCUGAACUGCAGCGCGAACUGGUUUCCUUGAGUACGCACAAAGUGGGCGGAAUUCGUGGUGUAGCGGUGAAAUGCUUAGAUAUCACGAAGAACUCCGAUUGCGAAGGCAGCUCACUGGAGCGCAACUGACGCUGAAGCUCGAAAGUGCGGGUAUCGAACAGGAUUAGAUACCCUGGUAGUCCGCACGGUAAACGAUGGAUGCCCGCUGUUGGUCUGAAUAGGUCAGCGGCCAAGCGAAAGCAUUAAGCAUCCCACCUGGGGAGUACGCCGGCAACGGUGAAACUCAAAGGAAUUGACGGAAG
This 899-nucleotide ribosomal RNA is filed under the name uncultured bacterium. RNAcentral describes it as "bacterial SSU rRNA". It matches the Rfam family "Bacterial small subunit ribosomal RNA", at positions 30 to 919 of the family's 1533-position model. The record is from RNAcentral.